ACUCAAAGGAAUUGACGGGGGCUCGCACAAGCGGUGGAGGAUGUUGUUUAAUUCGAUGCAACGCGCAGAACCUUACCAGGGCUUGACAUGCUGGAAUUAGUUCCCUGAAAGGGGGAUGACGCCCGAAAGGGUGGAGCCAGCACAGGUGUUGCACGGCUGUCGUCAGCUCGUGUCGUGAGAUGUCGGGUUAAGUCCCUUAACGAGCGAAACCCUUGUCCCUAGUUGCUACCGGGUAAGCCGAGCACUUUAGGGAGACUGCCGCUGUAAAGCGGAGGAAGGUGGGGAUGACGUCAAGUCAUCGUGGCCCUUAUGCCCUGGGCUACAAACGUCCUACAAUGGCCGGUACAGAGGGAAGCGAGGCCGCAAGGCGGAGCAAAUCCCAAAAAGCCGGUCCCAGUUCGGAUUGCAGGCUGCAACUCGUCUGCAUGAAGCUGGAAUCGCUAGUAAUCGCAGAUCAGCCACGCUGCGGUGAAUAUGUUCCCGAGCCUUGCACACACCGCCCGU
This 504-nucleotide ribosomal RNA is filed under the name uncultured bacterium. RNAcentral's name for it is "partial 16S ribosomal RNA". It matches the Rfam family "Bacterial small subunit ribosomal RNA", at positions 899 to 1397 of the family's 1533-position model. The record is from RNAcentral.